UACGAUCUUCGGCAAGCUUUC
Molecule: non-coding RNA, 21 nt
Filed under: Caenorhabditis elegans
Lineage: Eukaryota; Metazoa; Nematoda; Chromadorea; Rhabditida; Rhabditidae
Source: RNAcentral